RNAcentral lists this ribosomal RNA (301 nucleotides) under uncultured bacterium. RNAcentral describes it as "partial 16S ribosomal RNA". It matches the Rfam family "Bacterial small subunit ribosomal RNA", at positions 509 to 807 of the family's 1533-position model. The record is from RNAcentral.
CAGCAGCCACGGGAACACGAAGGGUGCAAGCGUUACUCGGAAUUACUGGGCGUAAAGCGUGCGUAGGUGGUUGUUUAAGUCUGCUGUGAAAGCCCUGGGCUCAACCUGGGAAUUGCAGUGGAUACUGGGCGACUAGAGUAAGGUAGAGGAUAGUGGAAUUUCCGGUGUAGCAGUGAAAUGCGUAGAGAUCGGAAGGAACAUCUGUGGCGAAGGCGACUAUCUGGGCCAUUACUGACACUGAGGCACGAAAGCGUGGGGAGCAAACAGGAUUAGAUACCCCUGUAGUCCCUGUCUCUUAUAC